GGAUUAGAUACCCUGGUAGUCCACGCCGUAAACGAUGUCGACUAGCCGUUGGAUUCCUUGAGGAUUGAGUGGCGCAGUUAACGCGAUAAGUCGACCGCCUGGGGAGUACGGCCGCAAGGUUAAAACUCAAAUGAAUUGACGGGGGCCCGCACAAGCGGUGGAGCAUGUGGUUUAAUUCGAUGCAACGCGAAGAACCUUACCAGGUCUUGACAUCCAGAAGACUGAGCAGAGAUGCUUGGGUGCCUUCGGGAAUUCUGUGACAGGUGCUGCAUGGCUGUCGUCAGCUCGUGCCG
This 293-nucleotide ribosomal RNA is filed under the name uncultured bacterium. RNAcentral's name for it is "partial 16S ribosomal RNA". It matches the Rfam family "Bacterial small subunit ribosomal RNA", at positions 775 to 1067 of the family's 1533-position model. The record is from RNAcentral.